GGUGUUUGGAAUGAGGUUUGAGCCAAGAUCCUUCCAGUCAUCCAAAAUGUUUAAUUUCUUUCAUUGUAUGUAGUUCCAUGGAUGGAUCUCGGACCAGGCUUCAUUCCUUACACCAG
Molecule: microRNA precursor, 116 nt
Filed under: Aquilegia coerulea
Lineage: Eukaryota; Viridiplantae; Streptophyta; Magnoliopsida; Ranunculales; Ranunculaceae
Description: Aquilegia caerulea miR166c stem-loop (aqc-MIR166c)
Gene: aqc-MIR166c
Rfam family: mir-166 microRNA precursor family
About the family: This family represents the plant microRNA (miRNA) precursor mir-166. Animal miRNAs are transcribed as ~70nt precursors and subsequently processed by the Dicer enzyme to give a ~22nt product.
Source: miRBase by way of RNAcentral